UACGAAGGGGGCUAGCGUUGUUCGGAAUCACUGGGCGUAAAGGGCGCGUAGGCGGCCGAUCAAGUCGGGGGUGAAAGCCUGUGGCUCAACCACAGAAUUGCCUUCGAUACUGUUUGGCUUGAGACCGGAAGAGGUAAGUGGAACUGCGAGUGUAGAGGUGAAAUUCGUAGAUAUUCGCAAGAACACCAGUGGCGAAGGCGGCUUACUGGUCCGGUUCUGACGCUGAGACGCGAAAGCGUGGGGAGCGAACAGG
Molecule: ribosomal RNA, 253 nt
Filed under: uncultured bacterium
Lineage: Bacteria
Description: partial 16S ribosomal RNA
Rfam family: Bacterial small subunit ribosomal RNA
Source: RNAcentral